This 253-nucleotide ribosomal RNA is filed under the name uncultured bacterium. RNAcentral's name for it is "partial 16S ribosomal RNA". It matches the Rfam family "Bacterial small subunit ribosomal RNA", at positions 524 to 776 of the family's 1533-position model. The record is from RNAcentral.
UACAGAGGGGGCAAGCGUUGUUCGGAAUUACUGGGCGUAAAGGGCGCGUAGGUGGUUUGUCGCGUUGUCCGUGAAAACUCACAACUCAAUUGUGGGCGUGCGGGCGAUACGGGCAGACUGGAGUACUGCAGGGGAGACUGGAAUUCCUGGUGUAGCGGUGGAAUGCGCAGAUAUCAGGAGGAACACCGGUGGCGAAGGCGGGUCUCUGGGCAGUAACUGACGCUGAGGAGCGAAAGCGUGGGGAGCGAACAGG